GUAGGUGGCAAGCGUUGUCCGGAAUUAUUGGGCGUAAAGCGCGCGCAGGCGGUCCUUUAAGUCUGAUGUGAAAGCCCACGGCUCAACCGUGGAGGGUCAUUGGAAACCGGGGGACUUGAGUACAGAAGAGGAAAGCGGAAUUCCAAGUGUAGCGGUGAAAUGCGUAGAGAUUUGGAGGAACACCAGUGGCGAAGGCGGCUUUCUGGUCUGUAACUGACGCUGAGGCGCGAAAGCGUGGGGAGCAAACAGGAUUAGAUACCCUGGUAGUCCACGCCGUAAACGAUGAGUGCUAAGUGUUAGGGGGUUUCCGCCCCCUUAGUGCUGCAGCUAACGCAUUAAGCACUCCGCCUGGGGAGUACGGCCGCAAGGCUG
Molecule: ribosomal RNA, 372 nt
Filed under: uncultured organism
Description: partial 16S ribosomal RNA
Rfam family: Bacterial small subunit ribosomal RNA
Source: RNAcentral